GGUUAAGCGACUAAGCGUACACGGUGGAUGCCCUGGCAGUCAGAGGCGAUGAAGGACGUGCUAAUCUGCGAUAAGCGUCGGUAAGGUGAUAUGAACCGUUAUAACCGGCGAUUUCCGAAUGGGGAAACCCAGUGUGAUUCGUCACACUAUCAUUAACUGAAUCCAUAGGUUAAUGAGGCGAACCGGGGGAACUGAAACAUCUAAGUACCCCGAGGAAAAGAAAUCAACCGAGAUUCCCCCAGUAGCGGCGAGCGAACGGGGAGCAGCCCAGAGCCUGAAUCAGUGUGUGUGUUAGUGGAAGCGUCUGGAAAGGCGUGCGAUACAGGGUGACAGCCCCGUACACAAAAAUGCACAUACUGUGAGCUCGAUGAGUAGGGCGGGACACGUGGUAUCCUGUCUGAAUAUGGGGGGACCAUCCUCCAAGGCUAAAUACUCCUGACUGACCGAUAGUGAACCAGUACCGUGAGGGAAAGGCGAAAAGAACCCCGGCGAGGGGAGUGAAAAAGAACCUGAAACCGUGUACGUACAAGCAGUGGGAGCACGCUUAGGCGUGUGACUGCGUACCUUUUGUAUAAUGGGUCAGCGACUUAUAUUCUGUAGCAAGGUUAACCGAAUAGGGGAGCCGAAGGGAAACCGAGUCUUAACUGGGCGUUAAGUUGCAGGGUAUAGACCCGAAACCCGGUGAUCUAGCCAUGGGCAGGUUGAAGGUUGGGUAACACUAACUGGAGGACCGAACCGACUAAUGUUGAAAAAUUAGCGGAUGACUUGUGGCUGGGGGUGAAAGGCCAAUCAAACCGGGAGAUAGCUGGUUCUCCCCGAAAGCUAUUUAGGUAGCGCCUCGUGAAUUCAUCUCCGGGGGUAGAGCACUGUUUCGGCAAGGGGGUCAUCCCGACUUACCAACCCGAUGCAAACUGCGAAUACCGGAGAAUGUUAUCACGGGAGACACACGGCGGGUGCUAACGUCCGUCGUGAAGAGGGAAACAACCCAGACCGCCAGCUAAGGUCCCAAAGUCAUGGUUAAGUGGGAAACGAUGUGGGAAGGCCCAGACAGCCAGGAUGUUGGCUUAGAAGCAGCCAUCAUUUAAAGAAAGCGUAAUAGCUCACUGGUCGAGUCGGCCUGCGCGGAAGAUGUAACGGGGCUAAACCAUGCACCGAAGCUGCGGCAGCGACGCUUAUGCGUUGUUGGGUAGGGGAGCGUUCUGUAAGCCUGUGAAGGUGUGCUGUGAGGUAUGCUGGAGGUAUCAGAAGUGCGAAUGCUGACAUAAGUAACGAUAAAGCGGGUGAAAAGCCCGCUCGCCGGAAGACCAAGGGUUCCUGUCCAACGUUAAUCGGGGCAGGGUGAGUCGACCCCUAAGGCGAGGCCGAAAGGCGUAGUCGAUGGGAAACAGGUUAAUAUUCCUGUACUUGGUGUUACUGCGAAGGGGGGACGGAGAAGGCUAUGUUGGCCGGGCGACGGUUGUCCCGGUUUAAGCGUGUAGGCUGGUUUUCCAGGCAAAUCCGGAAAAUCAAGGCCGAG
This 1516-nucleotide ribosomal RNA is filed under the name Escherichia coli. Its description in RNAcentral is "partial 23S ribosomal RNA". It matches the Rfam family "Bacterial large subunit ribosomal RNA", at positions 1 to 1560 of the family's 2925-position model. Lineage: Bacteria; Pseudomonadati; Pseudomonadota; Gammaproteobacteria; Enterobacterales; Enterobacteriaceae. The record is from RNAcentral. RNAcentral also lists the same sequence under 2 other names.